RNAcentral lists this long non-coding RNA (1484 nucleotides) under Bemisia tabaci. Its description in RNAcentral is "lncRNA ENSSSA3NGG006156". The record is from RNAcentral. Lineage: Eukaryota; Metazoa; Arthropoda; Insecta; Hemiptera; Aleyrodidae.
UUUAUGUAGAAAAGAUGGCGUAUUCAAUCUCUCCCCCUAGGAGAGGUGUAUUGAAAUAGACACUGAUUUGAAUAUUUGACCAAUUUCAGGGUUCCUGCGGAUAUCACGGGUGAUCAGGAAAAAAUUCAGGCAAAUUUAAUACAAGCAAGAAGAACGCCUAGGACAAUAUCGGACACAGACCAUAAUAGCAGCUCAGCCUAUCACAUUGGCAGCGAUGAAAAAGAGAAGAACAGCUUUUCCAGCACCAGUUUCAAAAGUGAAGGUGAAGUGCCGACCGCGGACGAGGACGACCUGCAGAGCUAUCUGCGGAACCGAAUCGACGGCGGACGGCCUAAAAGCCGAGAAGACAAGGUCGUCUUGGAGACGGACGAGAACAUGCGCGACCCAGAGCCAGAGGAAGUUGCGGACAGGGAGAUCUGUCGCCGGCCUUCCCUGAACCGCCUUCAAUGGCCAAUGUGAAGGCGGAGGAGAACCAAGAGCCACCUCCUGAAGAAGGGAAGUCCUCGGCGGAGCUACCACCGACGUCGAACACGGUGUCGUGGGCGUUGUCGUCGAUCGAGUGCGAAAACGAAGACGGCGCCCAGACAACUGAGCCUCAGCCUGACGAAGAAGAUUAUCUCCACCUUCCUCCUACGCCGCCGUCCAUCAUACCGCCACCGGUCGAAACACCAUUAGUGGAGGAGCCCUUGCAGAUGAUUUCUGUGCCGGUCGAGGAGCCGAAGCUGAAAACAGAGAAGCCACCACCGAAGACAGAGAAGCCAUCACUGAAGACAGAGAAGCCACCACCGAAGACAGAGAAGCCAUCACCGAAGACAGAGAAGCCACCACCGAAGACAGAGAAGCCACCACCGAAGACAGAGAAGCCACCACUGAAGACAGAGAUGCCAUCACCAAAGACAGAAAAGCCAGCACCGAAGACAGAAAAGCCAGCACCGAAGACAGAGAUGCCACCACCAAAGACAGAAAAGCCAGCACCGAAGACAGAAAAGCCAGCACCGAAGACAGAGAGGCCACCACCCAAGGCAGAGAUGCCACCACCGAAGACAGAGAAGCCAGCACCCAAGGCAGAGUUGCCACCACCGAAGACAGAGAAGCCAGCACCCAAGGCAGAGAUGCCAGCACCUAAGGCACAGAAGCAAGCACCCAAGGCAGAGAUGCCACCAUCCAAGGCAGAGGAGCCACCACCGAUCUCUUUGUCAUCUCUCCCUCAGCGCCAAGUUGUGACAUGGAAUAACGACGUGACAUCCCCCAAAAUAACCGGUGCAGCGGUGCCCAAACUGAAUUGGACGGACGUUGCCACAGCUUGGGAGCUCAGUUCACAGGCGGGUGUUGAGUUGGACUCGACCUCGGCUGCCAGGCGACUUGUUCCUUGGAGAAACGCUCAGCAAAGGCAUCCGAUCUCUCAAAAACUCGAGCAAAGCCGACACCCUCUAAAAUCCAAAAACCAGAUCAAAGAAAACCAAGUUUACCCCCGAAAAGUAUGA